UACGUAGGGUGCGAGCGUUGUCCGGAAUUACUGGGCGUAAAGAGUUCGUAGGCGGUUUGUCGCGUCGUUCGUGAAAACUUGGGGCUUAACUCCAAGCGUGCGGGCGAUACGGGCAGACUUGAGUACUACAGGGGAGACUGGAAUUCCUGGUGUAGCGGUGAAAUGCGCAGAUAUCAGGAGGAACACCGGUGGCGAAGGCGGAUCUCUGGGCCAUUACUGACGCUGAGGAGCGAAAGCGUGGGGAGCGAACAGG
Molecule: ribosomal RNA, 253 nt
Filed under: uncultured bacterium
Lineage: Bacteria
Description: partial 16S ribosomal RNA
Rfam family: Bacterial small subunit ribosomal RNA
Source: RNAcentral